RNAcentral lists this ribosomal RNA (404 nucleotides) under uncultured bacterium. RNAcentral's name for it is "bacterial SSU rRNA". It matches the Rfam family "Bacterial small subunit ribosomal RNA", at positions 355 to 776 of the family's 1533-position model. The record is from RNAcentral.
UGGGGAAUAUUGCGCAAUGGGCGAAAGCCUGACGCAGCAACGCCGCGUGCGGGAUGAAGGCCUUCGGGUUGUAAACCGCUUUCAGCAGGGACGAAACUGACGGUACCUGCAGAAGAAGCCCCGGCUAACUACGUGCCAGCAGCCGCGGUAAUACGUAGGGGGCUAGCGUUAUCCGGAUUCAUUGGGCGUAAAGCGCGCGUAGGCGGGCUGUUAAGUCAGGUGUGAAAACCGGGGGCUCAACCCGCGGCCUGCACCUGAAACUGGCAGCCUCGAGUCUGGUAGAGGAAAGUGGAAUUCCCAGUGUAGCGGUGAAAUGCGCAGAUAUUGGGAGGAACACCAGUGGCGAAGGCGGCUUUCUGGGCCACGACUGACGCUGAGGCGCGAAAGCUAGGGGAGCAAACAGG